Molecule: ribosomal RNA, 853 nt
Filed under: uncultured bacterium Pn34
Lineage: Bacteria; Pseudomonadati; Bacteroidota; Bacteroidia; Bacteroidales; Bacteroidaceae
Description: SSU rRNA
Rfam family: Bacterial small subunit ribosomal RNA
Source: RNAcentral
UACGGAGGAUUCGAGCGUUAUCCGGAUUUAUUGGGUUUAAAGGGUGCGCAGGCGGUUUUUUAAGUCGGCGGUGAAAUUUUGCGGCUCAACCGUAAAAGUGCCUUCGAAACUGGAAGACUUGAGUAUAGAUGAAGUAGGCGGAAUUUGUGGUGUAGCGGUGAAAUGCAUAGAUAUCACGAGGAACUCCGAUUGCGCAGGCAGCUUACUAAACUAUAACUGACGCUCAUGCACGAAGGCGUGGGGAUCAAACAGGAUUAGAUACCCUGGUAGUCCACGCAGUAAACGAUGAUUACUCGCUGUUUGCGAUAUACCGCAAGCGGCUUAGCGAAAGCGUUAAGUAAUCCACCUGGGGAGUACGUUCGCAAGAAUGAAACUCAAAGGAAUUGGCGGGGGCCCGCACAAGCGGAGGAACAUGUGGUUUAAUUCGAUGAUACGCGAGGAACCUUACCCGGGCUAGAACGCAGAGGGAAUGUAUGGGAAACUGUACAGCCGCAAGGCCGUCUGCGAGGUGCUGCAUGGUUGUCGUCAGCUCGUGCCGUGAGGUGUCGGCUUAAGUGCCAUAACGAGCGCAACCCUUAUUGUUAGUUGCCAGCGGAUCAUGCCGGGGACUCUAGCAAAACUGCCGGCGUAAGCUGUGAGGAAGGUGGGGAUGACGUCAAAUCAGCACGGCCCUUACGUCCGGGGCGACACACGUGUUACAAUGGGAGGUACAGAAGGUUGCUACCACGCGAGUGGAUGCUAAUCCAGAAAGCCUCUCUCAGUUCGGAUCGAAGUCUGCAACUCGACUUCGUGAAGCUGGAUUCGCUAGUAAUCGCGCAUCAGCCAUGGCGCGGUGAAUACGUUCCCGGGCCUU